AUUGAACGCUGGCGGCAGGCUUAACAUAUGCAAGUCGAGCGGGGUGAUGGUGCUUGCACUAUCACCUAGCGGCGGACGGGUGAGUAAUGCUUAGGAAUCUGCCUAUUAGUGGGGGACAACAUCUCGAAAGGGAUGCUAAUACCGCAUACGUCCUACGGGAGAAAGCAGGGGAUCACUUGUGACCUUGUGCUAAUAGAUGAGCCUAAGUCGGAUUAGCUAGUUGGUGGGGUAAAGGCCUACCAAGGCGACGAUCUGUAGCGGGUCUGAGAGGAUGAUCCGCCACACUGGGGCUGAGACGCGGCCCAGACUCCUACGGGAGGCAGCGGUGGGGAAUAUUGGACAAUGGGGGGAACCCUGAUCCAGCCAUGCCGCGUGUGUGAAGAAGGCCUUAUGGUUGUAAAGCACUUUGAGCGAGGAGGAGGCUCUUUCGGUUAAUACCCAAGAUGAGUGGACGUUACUCGCAGAAUAAGCACCGGCUAACUCUGUGCCAGCAGCCGCCGUAA
This 503-nucleotide ribosomal RNA is filed under the name uncultured bacterium. RNAcentral describes it as "partial 16S ribosomal RNA". It matches the Rfam family "Bacterial small subunit ribosomal RNA", at positions 30 to 523 of the family's 1533-position model. The record is from RNAcentral.